GUAACACGUAUGCAACCUGCCCCAAACAGGGGGAUAGCCUCUCGAAAGAGAGAUUAAUACCCCAUAAUAAUGUUGUUAGGCAUCUAAUGAUAUUUAAAGCUGAGGCGGUUUGGGAUGGGCAUGCGGUUGAUUAGGUAGUUGGUGAGGUAACGGCUCACCAAGCCAACGAUCAAUAGGGGGUCUGAGAGGAUGUCCCCCCACACUGGUACUGAGACACGGACCAGACUCCUACGGGAGGCAGCAGUAGGGAAUAUUGGACAAUGGGGGCAACCCUGAUCCAGCCAUGCCGCGUGCAGGAAGACUGCCCUAUGGGUUGUAAACUGCUUUUGUACGGGAAGAAACCUCACUACGAGUAGUGAGUUGACAGUACCGUGAGAAUAAGGAUCGGCUAACUUCGUGCCAGCAGCCGCGGUAAUACGAAGGAUCCAAGCGUUGUCCGGAUUUACUGGGUUUAAAGGGUGCGUAGGCGGGCUAUUAAGUCAGUGGUGAAAGCCGAUCGCUUAACGAUCGAACUGCCAUUGAAACUGAUAGUCUUGAGUAUGUUUGAGGUUACUGGAAUAUAACAUGUAGCGGUGAAAUGCUUAGAUAUGUUAUAGAACACCAAUUGCGAAGGCAGGUAACUAAGUCAUAACUGACGCUGAGGCA
This 645-nucleotide ribosomal RNA is filed under the name uncultured bacterium. Its description in RNAcentral is "bacterial SSU rRNA". It matches the Rfam family "Bacterial small subunit ribosomal RNA", at positions 110 to 753 of the family's 1533-position model. The record is from RNAcentral.